This is a long non-coding RNA of Trachemys scripta elegans, 261 nucleotides long. RefSeq lists it as uncharacterized. NCBI's taxonomy places the organism in Eukaryota, Metazoa, Chordata, Testudines, Emydidae. The transcript is spliced from 3 exons. The record is from RefSeq and is a predicted model, not a curated record.
AAGAACGGAUACAAAGACCUUUGAAUGGAAGAUGAGGAGGAGGGUUACACAGCACUUCACUUCAAAAAAAGGAAGAGAAGAUCAAAUAUAGGUGAUAAAAAGGAUACCAACGUGAGAAAAUUCAAGUCUACAGUUUGGAAAGCCACAUUUUAAUAAAUAUUCAUCUCCUAAAUGUCCUGGCUUGUGAUAUCUUGUCCUAAUCUUCGGGCUUCUUAGUCUCCUGCUUCUGGGAGCUGUGAUCACCUUAUCUUUGCAAUGUGA